This 497-nucleotide ribosomal RNA is filed under the name uncultured bacterium. Its description in RNAcentral is "partial 16S ribosomal RNA". It matches the Rfam family "Bacterial small subunit ribosomal RNA", at positions 28 to 507 of the family's 1533-position model. The record is from RNAcentral.
GAUGAACGCUGGCGGCGUGCCUAAUACAUGCAAGUCGAGCGCACGGACCCUCCGCUUGCUUCUCUGUUAUUAGCGGCGAACGGGUGAGUAACGCGUGGAUACACUACCUAUACGUCUGGGAUAACUUCGGAAAACCGGAGCUAAUACCGGCUAAUAUUUUGUAACACAUUAUUCCACAGUGAAUGACGGUCUUGCUGUCUCUUAUAGAUGGCUCCGCGCUGCAUUAGCUAGUUGGUAAGGUAACGGCUUACCAAGGCAACGAUGCAUAGCCGACCUGAGAGGGUGAUCGGCCACACUGGAACUGAGACACGGCCCAGACUCCUACGGGAGGCAGCAGUAGGGAAUCUUCGGCAAUGGGCGAAAGCCUGACGGAGCAACGCCGCGUGAGUGAUGAAGGUCUUCGGAUCGUAAAACUCUGUUAUUAGGGAAGAACAUAUGUGUAAGUAACUGAGCACACCUUGACGGUACCUAAUCAGAAAGCCACGGCUAACUACGUG